UUAUUUUAAGAUUAAAAGGGAAUUUGGUGCGAGGCCAAAACUAUCCCCGUAGCUGUAUGUUUUAUUAAAGUUUAAUCAAGUUGUCACUGUCUUGCGAUGGGAAGACGAUUAAAUUGAAACGAGUCAGAAGACCUGCCGAAAAUUAA
This 146-nucleotide non-coding RNA is filed under the name bovine gut metagenome. The record is from RNAcentral.